This 492-nucleotide ribosomal RNA is filed under the name uncultured bacterium. RNAcentral's name for it is "partial 16S ribosomal RNA". It matches the Rfam family "Bacterial small subunit ribosomal RNA", at positions 29 to 507 of the family's 1533-position model. The record is from RNAcentral.
AUUGAACGCUGGCGGCAUGCUUUACACAUGCAAGUCGAACGGUAACUGGCCUUCGGGUGCUGACGAGUGGCGAACGGGUGAGUAAUGCAUCGGAACGUACCCAGAGGUGGGGGAUAACGCAGCGAAAGCUGUGCUAAUACCGCAUGUGAUCUGAGGAUGAAAGCGGGGGACCGAGCAGCAAUGUUUGGCCUCGCGCCUUUGGAGCGGCCGAUGUCGGAUUAGCUAGUUGGUGGGGUAAAGGCCUACCAAGGCGACGAUCCGUAGCUGGUCUGAGAGGACGACCAGCCACACUGGGACUGAGACACGGCCCAGACUCCUACGGGAGGCAGCAGUGGGGAAUUUUGGACAAUGGGCGCGAGCCUGAUCCAGCAAUGCCGCGUGCGGGAAGAAGGCCUUCGGGUUGUAAACCGCUUUUGGCAGGAACGAAACGGUGUCCGCUAAUACCGGGCGCUAAUGACGGUACCUGCAGAAUAAGCACCGGCUAACUACGUG